GGGGGGGGGGGGGGGGGGGGGGGGGGGGGGGGGGGGGGGCGGGGGGGGAGGGAGGGCUGGGGCGGGCGGGGGGCGAGGGGGGGGCGGGUGGGGAAGACGUCGGAGUCUACGUUUGCGUGGGGGGUAACGGAGGGGAACUUACGCUAGUACCGCAUACGACCUACGGGGGAAAGCAGGGGAUGUUCGGACCUUGCGCGAUUGAAUGAGCCGAUGUCGGAUUAGUUAGUGGGCGGGGUAAAGGCCCACCAAGGCGACGAUCCGUAGCUGGUCUGAGAGGAUGAUCAGCCACACUGGAACUGAGACACGGUCCAGACUCCUACGGGAGGCAGCAGUGGGGAAUAUUGGACAAUGGGCGCAAGCCUGAUCCAGCCAUACCGCGUGGGUGAAGAAGGCCUUCGGGUUGUAAAGCCCUUUUGUUGGGAAAGAAAAGCAGCAGGUUAAUACCCCGCUGUUCUGACGGUACCCAAAGAAUAAGCACCGGCUAACUUCGUG
This 492-nucleotide ribosomal RNA is filed under the name uncultured bacterium. RNAcentral describes it as "partial 16S ribosomal RNA". The stretch from base 53 to 492 matches the Rfam family "Bacterial small subunit ribosomal RNA", at positions 26 to 507 of the family's 1533-position model. The record is from RNAcentral.